GACGAGGGACCUAGCGUUGUUCGGAAUCAUUGGGCGUAAAGAGUAUGUAGGCGGCCUUGUAAGUCAGUUGUGAAAGCCCCGGGCUCAACCCGGGAAGUGCAAUUGAUACUGCUUGGCUUGAAUGUGGAAGAGGGCAGUAGAAUUCCAGGUGUAGUGGUGAAAUACGUAGAUAUCUGGAGGAACACCGGUGGCGAAGGCGGGUAGCUGGGCCAACACUGACGCUAAAGUGCGAAAGCUAGGGGAGCAAACGGG
This 252-nucleotide ribosomal RNA is filed under the name uncultured bacterium. Its description in RNAcentral is "partial 16S ribosomal RNA". It matches the Rfam family "Bacterial small subunit ribosomal RNA", at positions 524 to 776 of the family's 1533-position model. The record is from RNAcentral.